CCGCCCAGAGCGACGCAAGCCCCCCCCCGCCGUUUCCGGCUCACCGCUGCAGCGCAUGCGCUCUGAACCAGCUCUUCCCGUCGUGCCCCGGGCGCUAUAAAUUCUCGUUGCCCCGCCUCCUUCGCUCUUUUCCCUCGGAGCGAGGUGGGCGGCAGGAGCGGGGCCGGCCUGGCUGGCCUGCAGAGUCCCGCUGCGUCUCGGAGUCCCCGGGCUGGGGCCAGGAGAGAAACCGCGCGGGAGACACUGCAGGACCAGGGGCGUCUGCUCGGGGGGCGCCACGUUCCGCCGCCCCGUCAAACUGCCUUGGCUCCCUGCUAACAUCUCUGUCCUUGUUCUCUUCCAGCGGCUUCGCAGGCAGCGCUCCUGGCCCACGAGCAGCUUUGCAAGCAGUGCACGCCUGCCCACAAGCAGCUUUGCAAGCAGCGCACGCCUGCCCACAAGCUUCAGAUGCCAUGUUGCAUCAGUUGAAAAGGUGAGUAGUGUAGAGUCCAUUACUUGUUCAUAGACAUGUAGAGUUUCUUUUAGUUUUCUGCUAUCAAGAGCUGUAUGGAAUCAGAUGUAAAAUACCUUAGUUCAGCAUAGAAGUUUCAUGUCACUGUAGCUAUCUGGGGAAAUUACUCUGUUUGGCCCACAGACGGUAGCCUUCAAGACUUGUAGCUUCUAAGGCAUUUGGGACCGACUGGACCUGAACUUGUGUGACUAUGGUGUGGUCGUCAACUGUAUAUCAUAACCUGCUAUGAGGAAAUUGAAACUACAAAAAACUUGCCUUGCUGAAAAGCAUGAGAAUCUGGGGCUUGCAUAAAUCACUACUGUGGGGCAUUGAUUACACCCUGGAAUAUAUAUGCUCAGUUUGUUUCCAUGGUGUUUAAAUUCAUUGAGGAUGGAUUAAGGUGGCCUAAAAAGUAAUCUCUCAUUUUUGGGACUGUCUUCUCUACUGGAAGUUUUGGGAGAUUAUGAGGCUGGCUAGUUUUGGGUACUGCAGCAGAGCAGUGGAAGACAGGACUCCUGAAGCAGAAAGGAUCUUGACACCUAUGAAAUAGUCUCCCAUAGCUGUGGGGUUGGGGGCCAUGAUUUAAUCUGCAUAUUAUGGCAAGGUGAGAGGGAAUGGAAUCCCUACAAUACGGUCUUAGCUUUUUGGAAAUCAUUUGUACUUCCAUGUGUGCAUUUGUAUCAGGAUGUGCAGUUAUUCUUGAAUUCAACUUGCUACGUUCCCUGUGAAAAAUCAACAUUAGCCUGAUACUACUGAUGGGAAGGGGUGGGGGGGAAAUAUGGCACAGGAAGUCCUUCAAAACU
Molecule: long non-coding RNA, 1293 nt
Filed under: Chrysemys picta bellii (western painted turtle)
Lineage: Eukaryota; Metazoa; Chordata; Testudines; Emydidae
Description: lncRNA (ENSCPBG00000011195.1)
Source: RNAcentral